GGGUCAGUAGGUUGGUCGUGCCACCGGUACGUACUGGUCUACCUGAUUCCUCCUUCCUGAAGAACCGUAAUGCCAUUAAUUUGGUGUUGCGGGGAAACAGGACUGUUACUUUGAAAAAAUUAGAGUGUUUAAAGCAAGCUAACGCUUGAAUACAUUAGCAUGGAAUAAUGAAAUAGGACGAUCGAUCCUAUUUUGUUGGUUUCUAGGAUUGACGUA
RNAcentral lists this ribosomal RNA (216 nucleotides) under Glomeromycotina sp. RNAcentral's name for it is "partial small subunit ribosomal RNA". The stretch from base 44 to 216 matches the Rfam family "Eukaryotic small subunit ribosomal RNA", at positions 690 to 864 of the family's 1831-position model. Lineage: Eukaryota; Fungi; Glomeromycota. The record is from RNAcentral.